Molecule: ribosomal RNA, 606 nt
Filed under: Triticum aestivum (bread wheat)
Lineage: Eukaryota; Viridiplantae; Streptophyta; Magnoliopsida; Poales; Poaceae
Description: partial small subunit ribosomal RNA
Source: RNAcentral
AUGCCACAUUUUUUUAGGAAAAGCAUACAUCGUACUAUGUCUGAAAGCCUCACUGGUCAUGCAUCACCCAAUCCAAACCAGGAUCCUAUCCCAAGGACUAGGGUUGAUACCGGUGAAAUGCCAGAUUGUCCUCUCCCUGAGGAUUCAGAUGAUGUAUCAGUUACCAACUCCGAAGUGGAGAGUGCGAUGAACCAUCGGCGCUGGAGGGCGGCUAUGCGCGACCCAACUUUCACCGAAGAGGCAUUCAAUUCCUUCAGCUCAGUGGAUGCAUAUAAACGAGCUGCUCGGGAUGGGCUCGCUGGAGCCACUCAUCAGCUUUCAAAGGAUAUGCGGGUACUCACGAAGAAGAAGAACAUGCUGCCACAGGAGCUGGAAAAAUGCCGGACCCAGCUAACUGCUGUCACCGCCGAACUAGCAAAGUCCAAGGAGGCACCGACUGGAUCACCGGAUCAGUUGGAAGAGAAAUUGAAGGCCGCGCAGGCAGAUAAACAACAUGUCGAAAGGAAAGAGGCUGCUGGUCAGCGUAUACUAACGCGGACCAGGGAUGAGAAGAACAAGUUGCAAGAUGCCAACAUCAAGCAUGGCGAGGAGUUGAAGGACAUAUGA